Long non-coding RNA from Dermacentor silvarum, 370 nucleotides. RefSeq lists it as uncharacterized. The transcript has 3 exons. The record is from RefSeq and is a predicted model, not a curated record. NCBI's taxonomy places the organism in Eukaryota, Metazoa, Arthropoda, Arachnida, Ixodida, Ixodidae.
CACAUGUGUUGCGCGGCUCACCGGUGUUGUAACAGUGGUAAUUCCAGUUCCACGAAGUUUUUAAAGGUUUCCUUAUUGCCGCAGGUUCUGCUCAGCGAUUUGGCCAAUGUCGCCGUGCGGCCAGCGGACCUGCAAACGUCUUGCGUUCCCCCUCGCGCUCUGCAUCGACAACACGGCGCCGUCUCACGUCUCGCCGAUGAGCCCGGGUCACGCCAUGCCACUCUCCGGAACCGAACAUGCGCGAACGGAUGGCGCCGAGACGACGGUGUGCCUUUGCUGCUGCUGCUGCUGCUGCUCCUGCUGUAAUCGCGUGUCAGCAAUAGCCCUCCUUUCUCGAAGGACCCAGCAUGAAUAUCGAUGGCUGUUGGCG